GGGGCGUGCUGUAUGAACUGUCCAAUCAGGUGGGCCGGCAGAAGAGGGCUUUAUUUCCUGGCACGGAAGCGCAGACCCCUAGCAGGGUUGGUCCCUGUGCUUUAGGGUGUGCACAGGCUGCGGGUUGUAGGGGACGGACUGGAGGAAACCCCCGAGCCACGCAGCGGUGUGGGUCGCUGCCCUGAGGCAGGCGGGGCCGUUCAGCGUGAGGUCGGGCGGAAGCAGGGGAGCAGCCCUAGCCCAGGCCCGGUUUGUGUACCCGGCACGCCGUCUCCACCGCCACCCCGCCAGCCUGGAGCGCAGUCCCCGGCAGCUGCAGCCUCGGCCCACAGCCGCGCCUCCUGGGGAGCUGCGGAGACCCUGAUCUCAGUGGGGAGUCGGGUGGUGGACUGCGGUGCUCAGGACUCCUUGUCCCCUUGUCUCUCCAGCAGAUCUGGAGCACCUCGGUUUUAUUGCUGCCUGGGAUGCAGGGUCUCAGAGCCACACCUUAGAUCCCAGGCCCGCGCUGCUCUGUGGAGAGAGUAAAUUGCUCAAGUAAUUCCGAUCUGUACCCGCAUUGAUUAAUGCCAUGGAAUUGAAAGAAAGGUCUGCCGGGUGUCUUAGUGGGCACCAGUAAUCCCAGCAUUUGGGAGGCUGAGGCAGGACAUUCAGAUCAUCUUCAAUUUAUUUUACUGUUUUUUAAAAUUUGUGUAUUGGUACAUUUUAUGUAUACAGUAUGAUGACAUUCACCAUUGGGAAUUUCCAACUUUACAUGAUGUAUCUUGGUUCUUAUUUUUUCCCCAUUCCCCUGCCCUCCCUUCAACCCCUGUAACCCCUCCCUAUUUACAAAGGCUUUGUUUUUUCCUUUUCUCAUUUUUUUUUUCCUUCUUUCCUUUCCCUUCUCCCUCACAUUCCCCUUCCCUUUGGACCUUUUCUUCCUAAUUCACUACCUAUUAUACAUUUUGAUUAUCACUUACACUUUCAGUUUCUCACACUAGAGUAACUAUUCAGUAUUUACACAAGUGUCCUAUUUACUUAGCUUAAGAGUAUGGCCUCAAGGUGCAUCCAUUUGUUACAGAAGGAAUCAGUAAGUGACACACAGAGAGGCAGCAGAAUGGAAGUAAAAUAACGAAUUUUCUCAUCGAUAAGGGUCGAUCGCACAUAAGCAGUGUCUGGGUUACAACUCCUCCUUUUAUAGGGUUUCACAGCCUUGACUUCAUUUGGGUGGUUACAUUUUAUCCUCACAGUUCAAAUCAGUCACAGAAUAGUUAAUCUUUUCAACCCAGAUGUAACAGUUCUUUGCAGUUGGGGAGUCUACCUUUAAGAUUCGCCUAGUUUUCUAUUCUAGUCCAUAGGAAGGGGGUGUUCAGGGUCGGGGGAGCAAAUGUUAGCAAUGGGUUCUUUCAUUUAGACACUUUUACGAUCAGGUGGCUCCAGUCUCAUCAGAGUUGAAGACCUUGAUGUGCCCUGUUAUCUCAGGUAAGACCAAUGCCUCAUUCAGCAAUUAGUGCCUUUGGUGCCUAUUAGUUUUGAGCUAAACAAACAAACUGCUGCUAGAGACAGCAGAAGCCACUGUACAUUGUAACACUUUAUAGGUUUUUGCUAUUUAUAAAGGUUUCCCUAUCACAAAUACACACAAAGUUUUUCUGUGUUGAUUUCUAAUGCUGAAUCAUU
Fukomys damarensis (Damara mole-rat) is the source of this 1653-nucleotide long non-coding RNA. The record is from Ensembl. Lineage: Eukaryota; Metazoa; Chordata; Mammalia; Rodentia; Bathyergidae.